GAGAGUCUUCGGACUCGAGCGGCGAACGGGUGAGUAACACGUAGGAAAUCUGCCGUAAAGACUGGGAUACCAGACCGAAAGGUUUGCUAAUACCGGAUAUGAAUUCGAGAGGCAUCUCUUGAAUUUGAAAGCUGCGUUUGCAGCACUAUACGAUGAUCCUGCGGCGCAUUAGUUAGUUGGUGAGAUAACAGCCCACCAAGACGAGGAUGCGUAGCCGACCUGAGAGGGUGAUCGGCCACAAUGGAACUGAGACACGGUCCAUACUCCUACGGGAGGCAGCAGUAAGGAGUUUUCGGCAAUGGGGGAAACCCUGACCGAGCAAUACCGCGUGAGUGAUGAAGGUCUUCGGAUCGUAAAACUCUGUUGUAAGGGAAGAAUGAUAAGAAUAGGAAAUGAUUUUUAUUUGACCGUACCUUACGAGGAAGCCACGGCUAACUACGUGCCAGCAGCCGCGGUAAUACGUAGGUGGCAAGCGUUAUCCGGAAUUAUUGGGCGUAAAGAGUGAGCAGGCGGCCGUUUAAGUCUGAAGUCAAAUGCAGUAGCUCAACUACUGUUCGCUUUGGAAACUGGAUGGCUAGAGUUCGGGAGAGGUAAAUGGAACUUCAUGUGUAGCGGUGGAAUGCGUAGAUAUAUGAAAGAACACCAGUGGCGAAGGCGAUUUACUAGACCGAUACUGACGCUCAGUCACGAAAGCGUGGGUAGCAAAUAGGAUUAGAUACCCUAGUAGUCCACGCCGUAAACGAUGAGUACUAAGUGUUGGGGUUACCCAGCGCU
RNAcentral lists this ribosomal RNA (774 nucleotides) under bacterium enrichment culture clone WG_201. Its description in RNAcentral is "bacterial SSU rRNA". It matches the Rfam family "Bacterial small subunit ribosomal RNA", at positions 69 to 847 of the family's 1533-position model. The record is from RNAcentral.